Molecule: long non-coding RNA, 255 nt
Filed under: Brassica napus (rape)
Lineage: Eukaryota; Viridiplantae; Streptophyta; Magnoliopsida; Brassicales; Brassicaceae
Description: long non-coding RNA (BNAP_LNC015629)
Source: RNAcentral
GAUGGUUUUAUAGGCGACACACAAGGUUGCGGAAGGGCCUUAUGAUACUACCGGCUUCGAUUAUGGUUUGGAAUGUGACGUCAGGACCAACAAGGGAAGAUCUGUUGACUGAGAAGGUGGAAGGUCAGUCAAGAAAACUCUUCAGCUUCAUAUCUGGUCGAUGGGACUCUUCGGCUGAUGUCUAGAUUCAUUCGUCCAAGUUGAAGUCGCCGCGGUAAGGAGCUGGACGAACGCAAGACGGUCUGGACAGUCCGU